RNAcentral lists this ribosomal RNA (253 nucleotides) under uncultured bacterium. RNAcentral's name for it is "partial 16S ribosomal RNA". It matches the Rfam family "Bacterial small subunit ribosomal RNA", at positions 524 to 776 of the family's 1533-position model. The record is from RNAcentral.
UACAGAGGUCUCAAGCGUUGUUCGGAUUCAUUGGGCGUAAAGGGUGCGUAGGCGGCGCUGUAAGUCGGGUGUGAAAUCUCGGAGCUUAACUUCGAAACUGCAUUCGAUACUGCCGUGCUUGAGGACUGGAGAGGAGACUGGAAUUUACGGUGUAGCGGUGAAAUGCGUAGAUAUCGUAAGGAAGACCAGUGGCGAAGGCGGGUCUCUGGACAGUUCCUGACGCUGAGGCACGAAGGCCAGGGGAGCAAACGGG